GACGAACCGUGCGAACGUUAUUCGGAAUCAUUGGGCUUAAAGGGCGCGUAGACGGGCGACCGCGUCGAGUGCUGAAAUCCCCCGGCUCAACCGGGGAACGGGCAUCGAAACGGGUCGCCUCGAGUGGAGGAGGGGGGACCGGAACGGCCGGUGGAGCGGUGAAAUGCGUUGAGAUCGGCCGGAACGCCAAUGGCGAAAGCAGGUCCCUGGACUCUCACUGACGUUGAGGCGCGAAAGCCAGGGGAGCGAACGGG
This 254-nucleotide ribosomal RNA is filed under the name uncultured bacterium. RNAcentral's name for it is "partial 16S ribosomal RNA". It matches the Rfam family "Bacterial small subunit ribosomal RNA", at positions 524 to 776 of the family's 1533-position model. The record is from RNAcentral.